UCCAUCACACACCUACUCUAGCAUGGCAGCUUGGUGCAGUUUCCUCCUGCUCAGCAAUUAGAUCUUCACAUCUUCCUGGACGCUGAGCUGUGAGAGGGUCUUCUUAAUGCGCAGGGCGGUGAGGCGAGCCGCUCCGUUGGCGUACCAACACUCCCUCAUCAUCUUACCCAUCACCCGCAGCGCCUCGUAGCUCUGCCACCAGUUGGG
Molecule: long non-coding RNA, 207 nt
Filed under: Gallus gallus (chicken)
Lineage: Eukaryota; Metazoa; Chordata; Aves; Galliformes; Phasianidae
Source: RNAcentral